AUCCUUGAAUUUCCUGGGACAUCUGAUAAAAUUGGAACGAUACAGAGAAGAUUAGCAUGGC
This 61-nucleotide small nuclear RNA is filed under the name Arabidopsis lyrata subsp. lyrata. Lineage: Eukaryota; Viridiplantae; Streptophyta; Magnoliopsida; Brassicales; Brassicaceae. The record is from RNAcentral.